CAGGAUAUUCAGUGCGCCGUCGGUUUCUGCUGCGUCGCUCGAAGUCGGCCGCGCGCUGCUCCAGGAAUCCGUCGAGUUGGUCGUGCCCUGUUUCUUCUCGCCCUUGUCACAGACGCACACGUCUGCAACGCGAGCUGCGAGACGAGUCAGCGAUAAGAGUCCGCAGAGCCGUACUACGAUGCAUAGCAUGCGCUUGUAUCGUAGACGUUAGCUCAGUUGUUAGAGCUCCCGCUUGUUAAUCUCGGGGUCCGCGGUUCAAGCCCACGUCUAUACUCUUUUUCGCUUUCCGACUCGUCUCCUCUCCGUCCGUUACACCCUCAUGCGCCCAGGAGAUCCUGCCUGCGGCUGCGCCUCUCUCUCCGAUCGGGCUGAUGCUCGCCCUCUGAUCGGGAUCGCCGUGCUGGGCCCGCUCCGUCCGCUACUCACCUCGUCGAAAGCGCCGGGUACCUCUUGCUGCUGUCGCAGCUAUCGGAAGAGUGACCAGGCUCGUUUCGUUGCCUGGUAUGUCGGCACCCCUCUCUUGGCCCUUCGGGGUGAGCUGAUGUUUGUUUCUCGGCGACUAGGCGCCGUUUCGGGUAUAGCGCUGGCUCUCGUGUCGCGCUAUACUUUCUCUCUCUGAUCUCUCUCGCACCUACCUUGCUUGUCCUAUGCUUGCUUCACGGGUGACUCCUGUCGCCUCGGUAAGCGUCUCGUAGGUGCGUGUCGUGUAGUGUCUGUGUGUGCGUAAGCGCUGCUUACGCGCUUGUAUGUGCUGUAUGCACGCUGCUUUAGGUGUGUGCGUGUGCCCUGUCACAAACCAAUAAGUCGAGAUGAAAAAACAAACACACAACCCAUACAAAGUCAUGAAAUGUAUAGUAUAGGUUACUAUCUGAAAUGCAGUUAUAACGAUUCACUAUGAAAAUAUGACUUUUAUAGAAGACCUGAAGCGUCAAGAUGGUAUGCUAAACAGUUGAGAAGUAUAGAAAAACAAAUAAGUGCUUUAUAUGCGAACCCUUUACCUAUGCCAGUUCUAUCUCAGACUCGAUUAAGAGAUUAUUAUGAUUCAAAAACGUGUCAUAUUUGUAAAAAAUUGUUGAAUGAUGAUGCGAAGGUGCGUGAUCACUGUCAUCUCACUGUAAAAUAUCGAGGACCUGCACAUGCUACCUGCAAUCUAAACUAUCAAGAUUCAAAAAUAGUUCCAGUUGUGUUUCAUAAUUUAAGUGGUUAUGAUACACACUUUAUUAUUUCUGAUAUAUCAAACCUUUUUCCAGGGCAAAUUGAUUUACUACCUCUGACAAAAGAAUAAUAUAAUUCAUUUACGAAGCAUGUAGAAGCAGACAAUAUAUUUAAUAUGCCAUGUAUUAAUAAAAAGGUCGUAGGACUUAUGAAAGAUGAAUGUAAUGGUCAGAUUCUUACAGAAUUUGUUGGAUUGAGAAGCAAAAUGUACAGUACACGUGUUGAUAAUCAAGGUAGUAUGAACAAAAAUCAAGGGUAUCAAAGAUUCAGUUGUAAAGAAAACCAUUGAAUUUAAUGACUACUUGGACUGUCUACGAAAUUCAUGCAUUCAGAGUCGAGAGAAGUACGCUAUAAGAUCCAAACUUCACAAGGUGGAGACUAUUAGACAGAGGAAGAUUGCUCUCAGUCCUUACGAUAAUAAAAGAUUUCUUCAAGACAAUACUACUGAUACGCUUGCCUGGGGACACUACAAAAUAUCGCGAAAUGGAAACGUCUGAUUCCAGCAAAGAGAAGCGUGUACGAUUUGAGGAAGAGCCAACCAUACGCUUGAUGUAUACAUGGAAAAUGUCGCAUCAUGACGCUCGACGUGGCAAGUGGGAGCAGGUCGCACGUAAUUGAGAACGUUUUAGGAUAAGAAUUUUACAAAUAAAUGAAAUUAUAAUGCCAGUACUUGUGAAAAAAAUUGAAGGAAAUUUAAAAUAAAUGAACAAUAAAUUUUA
Molecule: long non-coding RNA, 1934 nt
Filed under: Nasonia vitripennis (jewel wasp)
Lineage: Eukaryota; Metazoa; Arthropoda; Insecta; Hymenoptera; Pteromalidae
Description: uncharacterized LOC116416512
Source: RNAcentral